UCUCUCUAAUGGAGGCAAAAACAACGACAACAAAAAUAUGGGCUACAAGGUUCCUCCGCACUUGUGCCUUGGCGCAACAGCAGUAAUUACACAGAUUAGAAAUAGUGCUUAAAAAAUCCUCUUUCCCAUGUGCCCCACCUCACUUCCUAGGGCCCCUCGUGGCUCCUGUUCGCCUUCCUGACAGAUAAAUGCCUGGGAUCCACUCAUUCGUGCCUCACUGUGGCUCCUUGGUACUCAACCAAUUCAGCUUCCAUAUCACCCCUGGAAUAUUCCCCUGUCUCCCUUCCUCAGGGGCGGGUGCAGCAUUUUGGAGAUUUCCAAGGGAGAAGAGCAAGAUAAAAAUUGGGAAUCUGGGGGAGCAGUUUUAACAAUAAUAGCUACAUGAAAAUAAUAUUAAUAUCAUUUGCUUAUUAAGGACAAGCCAUGGGCCUCAGUGUUUUCAGCACUUCACCUACACUAACACGUUUAGGUAAUGUUAUCCUUCUCAUUUUAGAAAUGAUGCAACUGAGUCACAGAGAAGUUAAGUAAUCUGCCUGCCGACACUCGGGUCGAUGCCGCCUCAUUCCAUCACUCGGGCAAUGGAGCCAAAGGCCACGUUCACAACCACUAGGCUGUCCCAGCCCCUUGGUGUGAUUUGUCCCUUCCUAAGCUUCAAAGAUAGCCAGGCAGGAGUUAUUUUAUAGAAUGGAAGUAAUUUCUAUGGGGCCAAGCAAUAAUAAGGAAAUUGGAAGUCAAGGACUAUCUUCCGAAUGGAGAAGAAGCUCCAUCAACCACAGAAGGAAAUUAUGAUCACUCCUGCCAUCCUGCUCCUUUGUGUAUCCAGGAUGAAGGGGAGAAUUGGAGUCUUGCACAAUGAAAGGACAACAUUGCUGCCAAAACAAUCCAUCGUGACUGUAGACAUAUUUUCCACCCUCAUCCUGCAGGUUUUCUGCCAGUUGUUGGCCCCUCAUCAAUUUUGCUCCUGGGCAGUCUGAGGUGGAACAUAAUUUUGUAUAAAACAAAUUAUGCUCAACCUCACUUAUAAUCAGGGAAAUGUGAGUCAAAACCACAAUAAAAUAUCACCUCAUGCUGUUUAGGAUUGCUGUUAUCAAGUAGACAAGAAAGAAGUGUUGGUGAGGGUAAGGAGAAAAUAAAAUCUUUGCACACUGUUGGUGGGAAUGUAAGUUGGUAAAGCCACUAUCAAAGGCAAUAUGAAGGAUUCUCAAAAAAUUAAAAAUAAAAUUGCCAAAUGAUCCAUCAAUCCUUCUUCUGGACACAUAAUCAAAGGAAAUGAAAUCAGUAUCUCAAAUAGAUAUUUGCACCCCAUAUCCAUUGCAUCCUUUUUUGUAAUAGCCAAGAUAUGGGAGCAAUCGAAGUGUCCAUCAGCAAAUGAAUGGAUAAAGAAAUCAUGGUACAUAUAUACAGUGGAAUAUUAUUCAGACAUAAAAAGGAAGGAAAUCCUGUCAUUUCUGAAGACAUUAAUGAACCCAGAGGACAACUAAGUGAAAUAAGCUAGAUAUAGGAAGACAAAAACCACAUGAUCUCACUUACAUGUGGAAUCUAAAAAAGUCAAACUCAUAGAAGCAGAGAGUAGAAUAGUGGUUGUCAAGGGCUUGGGAUAAUUGAGGAGAUGUUGGUUAAAGGGUACAAACUUUAAGUUAUAAGAUGAACAAGUUCUGGCGCUCUACUAUAUAGUAUGGGUGAUGACGGAUGUGUUAAUUAAUUUGAUUGUGACAUUCAUUACACGAUGUAUAUGUAUAACAAAUCAUCACAUUGUACACCUUGGAUAUAUUCCAUCUUUAUUUAUCAAUUAAAUAUUUCAAAAUGUUUUUAAAAAGGAAGGCAAAAUGGGCCAAAAGGAGUAACUACUUUGUGUAGAGCUGAUGUCCAGGCUAGAAUUUCUAAACUUUUUCUGUAACCUAGAGUCUCUUUUAUACUUUUGACUUACCUAUUAUUCAUAACAGAUCUCAGGAACCCUCAUCACACUGCCUGUUGCUAAAAACUCAAAGGAGUUAUUGUUAUAUGAACAACCCAAGUUAAUGCAGUCAUUAAUGGAAAUACAGAGUCUUGACUGAAAGAGAUCAUUUCUAUUUUUUGUUGCGAUAGUCAGAUCAUAGCCAGUCACAUCUUUUAGGGAGGAUGCAAAUAGGCUGGAGUUCCUUCAGCAAACAGGAUGCUGUAGAAUAAAAUAUUCUACAUGAGAAUACUUAAACAAAUUGGAGUGCCUGGUGCCACCAUGUAAAUUGUGAGGUGUCAGACAGGCUAGUCUUUGGAUUAGAGAUUGGACUUACUCUCUGUGGCCCUAUGAGUAGAGCAGGUCCGGGUGGGGCUGGGCAGGGAGGAAGAUCAUCUUAAAGUGAUAGAUGUAGGCUCAGUGUGAGGAAGGAUUUCUAAGAGUUGGAGCUGCUCAGAGGUGAAAUAUCAAGAGAGUGCCCUUCAGGAGCAGUGUCUGAAGACAGACCACAUGGCCAAUAGGGAGAGAUAAGCGGGCUGGGUGGCCUUCAGUGCUUUGCUUCCAGUCUUGGGAGUCUUACUGAAAUAGCUAAUGACCACUCAACCCAAAGAACAGACACAUGUCUGCCAUGUCUCUCCGGGCUCAUCCUGCUUAUUGCAAGUGAGGCCCAAAGGUGGGGCUGUUAUUCCCUGAUGUUUCAGGUCCACGUGCAACUUAUUCCCAGAUCUUUUCUGAAAAAAAAAAAAGCAGAGAGACUGUUUGCCAGACAGCUGGACCAGAAUGAGGUAAAAGAAGAUAAGGCCCAACCGAGAAGUCAGAAAAGCUUCACUUUUCAUUAGCUCCACAUUCCAAAGUAAGAAAUCAAUGUGCUUAGCUGCAAUUCAAAGCAAUUAGUCUUUGUUCUCACACACUCUCAAAGAAUGACUUAAAGAAGCCCAAAUAAAUAUUUUCAGAAAAGACAGUAAAUUUGUGUUACUUAACCCAAGGAAUGCAAACAAGUGCAAUUAAAGUGAAUACCCAUAAAUAAAGUAAAUACAUUAGUCAGGAAAUGAAUUAAUUAGUGUUUAAUUACUAUCAAUUACUAAAAUCACUACAGAAUUACUUGUAGAAUGGACUGAAUCUCUUGCUCCUAUUAAUAAUUUCCAUUGCUAAUUGUAUGCACUUGUAUUUUCUUUGGGUGCAUCUUAGCAGAGCUAAUAGGAGGAAGCAACAGCACAGUGAACAAUGACAGGGACAUUUUUUUUCUUUGUUCAGUGAAAAACAAAAGUGAUUUGAAAUAUAUCUGCCUG
Pan troglodytes (chimpanzee) is the source of this 3222-nucleotide long non-coding RNA. The record is from Ensembl. Lineage: Eukaryota; Metazoa; Chordata; Mammalia; Primates; Hominidae.